RNAcentral lists this non-coding RNA (182 nucleotides) under Verrucomicrobiota bacterium. RNAcentral's name for it is "Verrucomicrobia bacterium (groundwater metagenome) 6S RNA". It matches the Rfam family "6S / SsrS RNA". From Rfam's summary of the family: E. coli 6S RNA was the first non coding RNA to be sequenced, but its function was unknown until recently. Lineage: Bacteria; Pseudomonadati; Verrucomicrobiota. The record is from RNAcentral.
GACACCCUGCAGUGUUCGAGGUGCUUUCAAUAACCGCUCUUUGCCUUUGAAAUAUUACGGGAGCUGAACCCGCUGCGGAAGAUGCCAGGCCGUAAACCGGAAGGCAGACGCUGUGGAGGAGGCGCCCACCUUAACUCAAGAAGGUCUUGAGCCAUUGAGCAUACGGCACAGGCGGGGUGUCA